CUAGUUUGGCAUUGUAAGGCGAUAUAGGAGGUGCAGCAUAGGUGGGAGAGUCAGCCCUUUACCGGGUUGGCUCGCCUCUGAGAUACCACCACUCUUACUGUUGCCUUACUUACAUGAUCGGGUGGAACAAGCGCGGGCCCCAGGUCCGGGUCGUACCGCCCACUCCCUCGCCGGGGGUGUAAGCGUGUCGGCUCGCCUGAAGCUGCCCAAUGCGCCGUGUUUCUAGCUCCGCGUUCAGCAUGUCGCUGGGUGGUG
RNAcentral lists this ribosomal RNA (255 nucleotides) under Anopheles funestus (African malaria mosquito). RNAcentral describes it as "eukaryotic large subunit ribosomal RNA". It matches the Rfam family "Eukaryotic large subunit ribosomal RNA", at positions 2428 to 2590 of the family's 3401-position model. Lineage: Eukaryota; Metazoa; Arthropoda; Insecta; Diptera; Culicidae. The record is from RNAcentral.